Molecule: microRNA, 21 nt
Filed under: Dinoponera quadriceps
Lineage: Eukaryota; Metazoa; Arthropoda; Insecta; Hymenoptera; Formicidae
Description: dqu-miR-11662-5p
Source: miRBase by way of RNAcentral
AAUGUGGUUCAAAUGCUGAAC